This 253-nucleotide ribosomal RNA is filed under the name uncultured bacterium. Its description in RNAcentral is "partial 16S ribosomal RNA". It matches the Rfam family "Bacterial small subunit ribosomal RNA", at positions 524 to 776 of the family's 1533-position model. The record is from RNAcentral.
GACGUAGGUGGCGAGCGUUGUUCGGAAUCACUGGGCAUAAAGCGCGCGUAGGCGGCUGGGUAAGUCAGGUGUGAAAGCCCUCGGCUCAACCGAGGAACUGCGCCUGAUACUGCCCGGCUUGAGGUCCGGAGGGGAGAGUGGAAUUCCCGGUGGAGCGGUGAAAUGCGUAGAGAUCGGGAAGAACGCCGGCGGCGAAAGCGGCCAUCUGGACGGAUACUGACGCUGAGACGCGAAAGCGUGGGGAGCAAACAGG